This 51-nucleotide unclassified non-coding RNA is filed under the name Leishmania gymnodactyli. RNAcentral's name for it is "guide RNA". The record is from RNAcentral. Lineage: Eukaryota; Euglenozoa; Kinetoplastea; Trypanosomatida; Trypanosomatidae.
AUUAAAUAACAUUCCACAAAAUAACAAUGCGAUUAAAAUAAAAAAUAUAUA